UAAUACUCCAUAGGUCACGAGAUCUGGAAAGACUUGUGGCUCAAAGUUCAGGCGCUCUAGGAUUGGUCUGCGGCCUACCAGGUAGUAGUGGGUGUAACGGACCCACUAGCCGAUGACGGGUAUGGGCCUUGAGAGAGGGAGCCCAGAGAUGGAUUCUGAGACACGAAUCCAGGCCCUACGGGGCGCAGCAGUCGCGAAAACUUCACAAUGGAGGCAACUCCGAUGAGGGAAUUCCUAGUGCCAAUGCAUUUUGUGUUGGCUUUUCUUCAGCGUUGAUAACUGAUGGAAUAAGGGCUGGGUAAGACGGGUGCCAGCCGCCGCGGUAAUACCCGCAGCCCAAGUGGUGGUCGAUAUUAUUGAGUCUAAAACGUUCGUAGCCGGUUCAAUAAAUCUCUGGGUAAAUCGGAGGGCUCAACCUUCCGAAUUCCGGAGCGACUGUUGAACUUGGGACCGGGAGAGGCAAGAGGUACUUCUGGGGUAGGGGUAAAAUCCUGUAAUCCUAGAAGGACCACCGGUGGCGAAGGCGUCUUGCUAGAACGGAUCCGACGGUGAGGGACGAAGCCCUGGGUCGCAAACGGGAUUAGAUACCCCGGUAGUCCAGGGUGUAAACGCUGCAGACUUGGUGU
RNAcentral lists this ribosomal RNA (626 nucleotides) under uncultured archaeon. RNAcentral's name for it is "bacterial SSU rRNA". It matches the Rfam family "Archaeal small subunit ribosomal RNA", at positions 147 to 774 of the family's 1478-position model. The record is from RNAcentral.